AGAAAUUUUAAGACGCGAUAGGGUUAAAACAGGAUUUCAUCCACCGAGUUUUGGGAAACCCUGAAUUUAUGUCGCGAAGUUUCAUCUGCAUCGGCGUAUAUCUUCCUCUCAAAACCCCUCAACCGCAAAACUAAAACAAGUGAGAAAUCAAUCGCCACUCCAUUUGAUAUUUUGAUCUAAUCCAUUUAUUGACUGAAGAAUACGGAGAGUGGGGAGCAGACACCAGUUUUGGAGGUCAUUCAAUCAUUCAAAUCAAUAAGCAUAAUCUAAACUUGGUAAUUUGUUUGGCCGAUCAUGGAGCGGUGAGGGUUUAAUCGGAGCACCAAAGUCCAUCGGGUCAAGGGUUUCUACCAUGAUAUGACGAAAGGUCAGUGAUGAUGUUGUUUGGGGCGAUAGCAGUGGUAGGUAGUGGAAAAAUCGAAGCCUCAACAGUGGCGGCUUUAGGGUUCCUUCAUGAGUCAGUCGGGGGCGGUUAGGAUUCCGGCAGAGGAAUCCUCAGAUGGUGAAGUUGAGGUUUGGUAGUGACUAUGGUGGUGAUUACAGGUAGUCAGGAAUUUCUAUUAAUAUGAUAUAUUUGCUCCGCUGCGCUGCUGCUUGCUCCGCUGCUCGGUCUCACAAGAGGCUCAUAUGUUUUGGUGGUGCUACAAAACUCCUUACAGAACUCAAGAUCCCAACAAUCCUUGGCCUGUAAUUCUUUGGUUGCAAGGUAAACCUGGUGCUUCAGGGGUUGGAACUGGAAAUUUUGAAGAAGUGGGCCCAUUGGACUCUUUCUUAAAGCCAAGAAACUGUACAUGGUCGACAAAAGCAGAUCUGUUGUUGUGGAUAAUCCAGUUGGGACUGGAUACAGUUUCGUAGAAGACGAAAAGUUGUUGGUGAAAACUGAUGAAGAGAUUUGACCACAUUGUUGAUUGAAAUCUUUAAUAGAAAUGAAACUCUUUAAAAGAGUCCUCUUUAUAUAGUGGCAGAGUGUUAUGGUGGCAAAUUUGCAGUCACUCUUGGACUAUCUGCUAUUAAAGCUAUUGAAUAUAAAAAGUUAAAGCUCAUUUUUGGAGGAAUUGCUUUAGGAGAUACCUGGAUCUUGCCCGAAGACUUUGUGAGCUUCGUGCACUUGAAUUGCAAACGUGGCAUUUUAGUCUACGACAGAUCAAAAGUGCAACUUAUAACAUUGAAUUCUGCUAAUAAGAUUGGCGAAGGGGCUUUGUUUACUUUUGUAACUGAUAUUUCUGUAUUCAGCACCAUGGAAUACUCCUGCUGCUUCCAUGAUUACAUCUAGGAAGGUGGUAUACUCACACUUCAUCUUUAGGUUUGACUUCAACGACUGGAAGAUGGUGUCGAAAUUAGUGGCUGAAGAUUCCGAGCUGAUCUUGGUUAGGAGACAUAUUUUACGUACUAAGAUUACUAGCAUAGUUUGGUUCUAUGUUGUUUUUUUUUGUUUAACAUCCUCAAAGCCUGUUUUGGUUAUCGUAUUUGUUAAGUAGUUGCUCGAUGAAAUGUGUCAUCCACGUUUGCCGCAGCCCCCAAAGCUGGGUUGGAUUUUAGAUCGCCACGACUGCAUAGAAAUAAGAGAUAAUCUGUGUAGGAAGCAUCGUAGACGAGCCCAGGAUCAGCUGCUUUUUCUGAUCUGAAAUGGCCCAACCCGUAUUGAAAUCGAUCUGCCUUGUUGCCUGAUGCGUCGGUUAUUUGUGUCCCAACGUUAACGGAGCAGGUUUAACUUGUAAUACAGUUUUCCCCGGAUAAUUAUACGCUGUUCGGGUUUUGAAGAAUUUUUAUUGCAUCAUCUGAUGUAACUGCAGUUGCUGGAAGAACAUGAGCGUCUACGGUUAACUCAGCUCUAUUGGCCAGGCUGUUGCCUAAAAUGUAACCUAUCCCACCAGCCCGUUUCACUUCCAUCCCUUUACCGGCCAGCAAACUUUGUAGAUGGCCAGGCGGGCCAUUGGUGCACCACCAAAAGCGGUCCCACGGGAAAAUCCACCAAGGGAUGACGCGUUGGGUACACCUCGGCCUCCCCCCGUUGAUGCCUUGUGGGUCCCAUGCCCGUCCAUGUCACGAGGGGACGGGCUAUUAGUGGUGGUGUUUAGAGGCCCGUAUCAUGCUUCAUAACCUUUGAGAUAGCACGGGGCCCCUAUCAGUUUUCUGUCAUAACACAUAGUUAUCAUAAGAUUCACGUUUACAAUAUUUCAUAUGUUAUUCAAAUUUUUUAUUCAAAGUCAAACAUGAAUUAUUUGAUAAUAUUUCAAUUAUUUGGUUGAUAAUUGCUUAUUGUAAUUUUAUUUGACCAUUUGUUUGCCA
Molecule: long non-coding RNA, 2289 nt
Organism: Helianthus annuus (common sunflower)
Lineage: Eukaryota; Viridiplantae; Streptophyta; Magnoliopsida; Asterales; Asteraceae
Exons: 8
Source: RefSeq, a predicted model, not a curated record